This is a non-coding RNA of Phrynosoma platyrhinos (Desert horned lizard), 72 nucleotides long. The record is from the annotation of a GenBank genome assembly. Lineage: Eukaryota; Metazoa; Chordata; Lepidosauria; Squamata; Phrynosomatidae.
GGCAGCAUGGUGUAGUGGUUUGCGUCUUGGACUGUGAUUCUGGAGACUGGGUUUCGAAUCCCUGCUCAGCCA